CAGUCGAGCGGACAGAAGGGAGCUUGCUCCCGGAUGUUAGCGGCGGACGGGUGAGUAACACGUGGGUAACCUGCCUGUAAGACUGGGAUAACUCCGGGAAACCGGAGCUAAUACCGGAUAGUUCCUUGAACCGCAUGGUUCAAGGAUGAAAGACGGUUUCGGCUGUCACUUACAGAUGGACCCGCGGCGCAUUAGCUAGUUGGUGAGGUAACGGCUCACCAAGGCGACGAUGCGUAGCCGACCUGAGAGGGUGAUCGGCCACACUGGGACUGAGACACGGCCCAGACUCCUACGGGAGGCAGCAGUAGGGAAUCUUCCGCAAUGGACGAAAGUCUGACGGAGCAACGCCGCGUGAGUGAUGAAGGUUUUCGGAUCGUAAAGCUCUGUUGUUAGGGAAGAACAAGUGCAAGAGUAACUGCUUGCACCUUGACGGUACCUAACCAGAAAGCCACGGCUAACUACGUGCCAGCAGCCGCGGUAAUACGUAGGUGGCAAGCGUUGUCCGGAAUUAUUGGGCGUAAAGGGCUCGCAGGCGGUUUCUUAAGUCUGAUGUGAAAGCCCCCGGCUCAACCGGGGAGGGUCAUUGGAAACUGGGAAACUUGAGUGCAGAAGAGGAGAGUGGAAUUCCACGUGUAGCGGUGAAAUGCGUAGAGAUGUGGAGGAACACCAGUGGCGAAGGCGA
This 682-nucleotide ribosomal RNA is filed under the name Bacillus amyloliquefaciens. RNAcentral describes it as "bacterial SSU rRNA". It matches the Rfam family "Bacterial small subunit ribosomal RNA", at positions 59 to 724 of the family's 1533-position model. The record is from RNAcentral. Lineage: Bacteria; Bacillati; Bacillota; Bacilli; Caryophanales; Bacillaceae.